This 450-nucleotide ribosomal RNA is filed under the name uncultured bacterium. RNAcentral's name for it is "bacterial SSU rRNA". It matches the Rfam family "Bacterial small subunit ribosomal RNA", at positions 354 to 796 of the family's 1533-position model. The record is from RNAcentral.
GUGGGGAAUUUUGGACAAUGGGCGCAAGCCUGAUCCAGCCAUUCCGCGUGCAGGAUGAAGGCCCUCGGGUUGUAAACUGCUUUUGUACGGAACGAAAAGGUUCUCUCUAAUACAGGGGGCUGAUGACGGUACCGUAAGAAUAAGCACCGGCUAACUACGUGCCAGCAGCCGCGGUAAUACGUAGGGUGCAAGCGUUAAUCGGAAUUACUGGGCGUAAAGCGUGCGCAGGCGGUGAUGUAAGACAGAUGUGAAAUCCCCGGGCUCAACCUGGGAACUGCAUUUGUGACUGCAUUGCUGGAGUGCGGCAGAGGGGGAUGGAAUUCCGCGUGUAGCAGUGAAAUGCGUAGAUAUGCGGAGGAACACCGAUGGCGAAGGCAAUCCCCUGGGCCUGCACUGACGCUCAUGCACGAAAGCGUGGGGAGCAAACAGGAUUAGAAACCCUGGUAGUCC